This is an RNA transcript of Homo sapiens (human), 1662 nucleotides long. It is a transcript of the gene named FKBP prolyl isomerase 1A pseudogene 1, with no coding region annotated. The record is from RefSeq and is marked inferred. Lineage: Eukaryota; Metazoa; Chordata; Mammalia; Primates; Hominidae. The transcript has 2 exons.
GAUUUGAGUCUUGCUCUGUCGCCCAGGCUCUGUAUCAAAAAAUAAAUAAAUAAAUAAAUAAAUAAAAGCCAAGGGUCUAGCCAGAGCUGUGGAACCGCCGCCAGGUCGCUGUUGGUCCACACCGCCCGUCGCGCUACCCGCCCACCCAGCAUCGGCCGCCGCCAUGGGAGUGCAGGUGGAAACCAUCUCCCCAGGAGAGGAGUGCACCUUCCCGAGGCACGGCCAGACCUGCGUGGUGCACUACACCGGGAUGCUUGAAGAUGGAAAGAAAUUUGAUUCCUCCCGGGACAGAAACAAGCCCCUUAAUUUUUAGCAGGAGGUGAUCCGAGGCUGGGAAGAAAGGGUUGCUUAGAUGAGUGUGGGUCAGACAGCCCAACUGACUAUAUCUCCAGAUUCUGCCUACGGUGCCACUGGGCACCCAGGCAUCAUCCCACCACACGCCACUCUCGUCUUCGAUGUGGAGCUCCUAAAACUGGAAUGAAGGGAAUGGCCUUCUCCCUCAGCUCCCUGUUCUUGGAUCUGCCAUGGAGGGAUCUGGUGCCUCCAGACGCGUGCGCAUGAAUCCAUAUGAAGCUUUUCCUGAGGUUCCACUACACUCUGUAUAGACAUCUGCCCUGACUGAAUGUGUUCUGUCACUCAGCUUUGCUUCCGACACCUUCCAUUUCCUCUUCCCCCUUCUCCUUGUGUGUGUGUUUACCUAAACUAUAUGCCAUAAACCUCAAGUUACUCAUUUUAUUUUGUUUUCAUUUUGGGGUGAAGAUUCAGUUUCAGUCUUUUGCAUCUAGGUUUCCAAUUAAGUACAUGGUCAAGUAUCAACAGCACAAGUGAUAGAUUCACUUUAGAAUAGGAAUUGGUGUUGGGGGGGUGUUGCAAGAAUAUUUUAAUUUUUUCGAUGAAAUUUUUAUCUAUUAGAUACUAAACAUUCUUUCUGCUGCGCUGCAAAGUCAUAGCAGAUAUGAGGUGCUGUUGAGGGAUUAAUUAUUGUCCAAGUUGAGAGAUGUCCUUCAGUUAAAUUAAAAUCCCUACCUAAAACCAAGGUGGUGAUGGGGAGAGCCUUUGCUUCCACCAGUUCCCCCCCUUCCCUCGCUUUAAGCCCCUGCCUUUGAAAGUAGAUCAUGUUCACUGAGAUGCUGGACACUGCAGGUAUCUCUCCCUGGGCCAGCAGGGACCUCUGAAGCUUUGUUGCCUGGCUUAUUUUUUUUUCCAUCCUGUGGUUUUUCUAAUGGACUUUCCGGAAUUUUGUAAUCUCAUAACUUUCCAAGCUCCAUCAUUUCCUAAAUCUUAAGAACUUUAACUGACAGUUUAAAUUGAAGAUGCUGUUUGUAGACUUCACACCCAAUGAAAGCCCAGCCAUUGCCGGGCACGGUGGCUCACGCCUGUAAUCUCAGCACUUUGGGAAGCCAAGGUGGGUGGAUCACCUGAGGUUGGGCGUUCGUGACUAGCCUGAUCAACAUGGAGAAACCUGGUCUCUACUAAAAAUACAAAAUUAGCCGGGCAUGAUUGUGCAUGCCUGUAAUCCCAGCUACUCGGGAGGCUGAGGCAGAAUUGCUUGAACUGGGAGGCAGAGGUUGUGGUGGGCCGAGAUCGUGCCAUUGAUUGCACUCCAGCCUGGGCAACAGGAGCGAAACUCCAUCUCAAAUUAAAAAAAAAAAAAAAAAAAAA